This is a long non-coding RNA of Thalassophryne amazonica, 315 nucleotides long. RefSeq lists it as uncharacterized. NCBI's taxonomy places the organism in Eukaryota, Metazoa, Chordata, Actinopteri, Batrachoidiformes, Batrachoididae. The transcript is spliced from 2 exons. The record is from RefSeq and is a predicted model, not a curated record.
AUAUAUAUAUAUAUAUAUAUAUAUAUAUAUGCAGAGAAUAUCAGACUGUGAAUUACAAAUAUCACAACUGUGAAGUGCUGAUGUGGGCAAGUUUUGUUUAACAUAUUAACACCGAAAUAUUGUUUGAGUGUUUGGUUUGACGUUUGUCGUUCAUAUUUAAAGGUCAUGGCUGGUGUGUUCAAGAAGCAAAACACCUUCAAUUUGUUAUUGUAAAAGUGAAUUAUUUGUCCUUGAAUUGUAAAUGCCUGUGUUGCUGUUUACUGGAUUAUUAUACCUUUGAGAGAUGUUUAUGAACUUGAAUAAAAAUUGUAUUUA